UCAUACUUUCAAACAUACCUUAAUAUAUUGCUACGCAGUAGGCAAUUUCCCCCUAAGCAAACAAAAUAACUCCAUAAAUAAUGGAAGAACAUAUGUGACCUAACGAUUGAUAACUCCAUAAAUUUAUGAAAGAAACUAUUUUUCAAUACUUGCUCUAAUUGCAAAUUACUCCAUGAAAAAUGGAAGAACAUUUCUAAGCUUUCCUAAUCUAACUUAUUCACGCAUUCAUUGAACGCACUCAUUCUUAUCGUUUCGGAAAUCACUUGAGCUAUUGCAUAAAUGUAGGCGCUGUAUAAAAGCUUUUUCGAAUACCGCGUUGAAUCAUAUGGGUGGUAACUAUCUUGUUAUGAUCUGUGUUGGAUGGUAACGGGUGGUUUUUCGUACUAGUUUGUUUACUUCAUAAGUGAUCUGUCAAGUUAAAGUGAGUUUUUCCUAAUUGUACCGGAUAUCAUUGUCGUAUAAACGAGCGGAAACUGUGGAAAACGGGAAAUAGUUUAUAAAAUAUUUGCGACCGGAGAUGCUUUUUUAUUCAAGUGACCUAUCAGCUGUGCUGUAUAAUACGAAUUGUAUCUGAUAAAGACUUGAAAGAUGUAGUAUUUCAUGCGAUUGGAGAUACCGAUUAGUACUCUAUGGAUGAUUGUAAGGAAAGAAAGGUAGAGGCGGCUGAAAUAUUGUGGAACUGACGAAGGAUUUUAUUAUCUGGAGAUGCGAAACGACUGGAUAUUGAGAUUCGAUGGAACGAUUGACUGAAUUUUUGGAGAGAUACUACGCUAUUAUGUACAGAUUGGUGAUUAAUCUACGUGGGAUAUUUAAUCAUGGUAAGCGAAUUAGUUUCAAUUAUUUUUGCGGACUAUUCUUACUUAACAUACUAACCUAUUGAUAUUAAUGACAUUAUUUUUAUGGAGAUAAUAAUGUAUUUUUUUCUUUCUUUUUGAGCUAGGUGUCGCGGAGGAUGAAACUACAACAUCGACUACAAUAUUUGACUAGUUGAUCGUUUUAUUAACGUUUUUCUCUUUUUAGGUAGACGAUAUCCUACUCGAGCAACCUAUCGUAGAUGGAUGGCGACGCUACGUAAUAUGAUGACCACUAGGGUGUUUUUAGUUCUCUGGUUUCUUCGAGCUCAUUAGCACUAAUAGGAACAGGCUUACUUGCUGGCCAGCUGGCACGUGGUUCCAACGACGGAAGAGUUUCGAUGUCGUCGUUGUCGGAGCUUUUCGGUUUUGGUUCCAAUCGCCGUAUUCUAGAGC
Molecule: long non-coding RNA, 1247 nt
Organism: Armigeres subalbatus
Lineage: Eukaryota; Metazoa; Arthropoda; Insecta; Diptera; Culicidae
Exons: 3
Source: RefSeq, a predicted model, not a curated record